CAGUUGGACAGGAUGUUUGGGUUUCAAAGUUCAUCCUGUGUCUGCCUCUAAAAAACAUACAUUUGUCAACACGUCAACACAAGUGCAUGACAAUGUCAAGGUAGGUUUGUUAUCAGAUUACAACCAUGUAUGUAGCUACACUCAUUGUUAAACGGAGCUAAAGUAAGACGUUUUAUAUCUUUAAGUACCUACCAUGAUACCGCCACAGACCAGGCAUGCAGCUAUUCCUGUAAAUCCACCAUGGCUACUCCCACCUCCAGAGGUUGAUCUACUAGUGUUGGAGAGACUACGGAAAGAUAGGGAGGGUGUUAAUCCAUCUGGAUACUGUGUAUCAGGAUUUUGUGGCCAUUUACACAGAUGGUUUCAAAGAUCCAAGAACACGACAUACUGGGUCAGCAUUUGUAGUGCAGGAACGUAUUACAGAUCAUCUGGCUGUAUAUACGGCUGAGCUGAUGGCCAUACUGUUGGCCUUGCAGUGGGUGGCGGAAGUCAAGCCAGACAGAGUAGUUAUUUGCUGUGAUUGAUGUGAGGUGUUGAUGAGUCAGCAGUCCUUUAGCUCAUGUAGCAGACAAUACCUGCUUUAUGAGGUACUACAAACUCAUGGCACUAUUAGACAGAUGGGUAUACAUAUCAGAUUCACUUGGGUCCCAGUCCAUGUGGGGGUGUAGGGGAAUGAGGCAGUUGAUGUUGUGGCUAAACAAGCACUUAGUAGUUGGGAUGUUAUAGUUUCAAUGAGCAAGGCAGAAGCAAAAAGCCUGAUAUUGACAGUGAUGGUGCCACGAUGGCAGGAGCAGUGGAAUAGAGCUAUGAAGGACAGGGAUUUAUUUCAAGUACAGAGGAAAGUCUGGGACGGGAGGACAGCAUGAAGGGGCAGAAGAGAGAUGGCUAUUUUUACAAGGUUAAGUGUGGGACACAACCGGUUGAAUAAGACUUUAAAAGGGAUAGGAAAACACCCAACAGGAAAGUGUGAUUAUUGCCAGGAAACAGACCAUGGAGCAUGCAUUGCUACAGUAUGGCAGUAUCAGAAGGAAAAGGAGAGGAUGAGAGCUAGUAUGAGGGAGAAGGAGAUACAGGAAAUUAGUUUUAAAAGUAUAUUGAGUAGAACUUCAUUGGUUAUAGUCUCAAAUAUUUUAUAUAUUUUUUAAGAUGAACGGGGCUGGCAGGAUUUAGUUUCUCCCUGUCUCUGGACCACACUCCAGUACAGUCGGUGGCGGUAAUGCAUCAUGACGAUGAAUUGUGAACCGAAGAUAAAGCUUACCGAAGAAGAAGCCCAGGCACGCGCAAAAAGUGGCGCACCAAGUUCUCGCAUCGAUUUUUCUACAUAGUAUGCUGUCGCCACUCUCUUGCGGUAAUUGUUCUACACAUUUUUAAAAGAAACCAAAAGCUUUCAAAAUAUUACGUAUUUUAUCACUAACAGAUGAGAGGACAGCUUAAGUACUUUUCCCGGACAUUACCCCUUCACUACAGUCCGCAUUUCUGUGUCCAGAUUGUAACAAAACAAGUGCAUGGCAAUGUCAAGGAGGGCAUGUAGUUUGCCCUCCCGGUGAUGCGUUGGGCAGAUCGUACCACCCUCUGUUGGUGAGACCUCAUCUCAUUGGUCCAGGAGGUGGGCUUCAGCACUCCUCACCUCAUCUCAGCCAGUCACAUCGAGGUCCACAACUGCGAGCUCAAAAGAAAGCUGGUACAUGCAUCUCCAUUACUGUCUUAAGGCUGCUUACUAUAGGAUGGAAACAGUAUGCAGUUCUUACGUUAACCUAACUUCACUAAUAACACAUUUAUUCAUGUCGUCUAGAAACAGUUAGUAUAAAAAAUGUAAGCCUAGUUGUGGCGGUCAUAGCAUUUUGUCAGCCGGUGAUUGUCAAGCAAAUAACUGCCGGUCUCACGGUAAUUGACCAUUAAUUAACAGCUGAAUUAAAUAGGAAAUAUAUUUUCUACAAAUGAUUUGAGGGAGGACGCACAUGCGGCUAUUCUGUGUUGAGCGGUUAACAGAGAAAUGGGUACUCCUAUGCUUCAUUUAGAGUUAUUAAUGUAACUUUAGUUGUGAUACAAAUGUUGGGCUAUAUGUUUAGAUUUUUAAUACAUUGUAAGGCUGCAUGAUGCGACUCUAAUGAUGAUUUGUAAAAAGUUAGAUGAAAGGCAUGAGCUCUGCUUUGUUUUUUUGUGCAGACUGUACACACUUCAUCAGUCUCUCAUUCACAAUCUGACAAGCACUUGACAAUGCCUCAAAUUACCUGGCUGUAUCACCUUUGUGUGGCCUUAAUCCCCCCCUGCAAAAAUCCAUCCCUUUUGUGCCCUUGGGCUGAAUAUAAUAAUUAUGAUCCCCUUCUCCCCGCUGCAUGCCGAAGCACCUCUCACUCACAUGGCUCUCAGUCACGUGAUCAGGUCUUUCUUACAGGCUACAAGUGAAGACAGACACAUCGGGGAGGCAACUGCGUGCAUCCUUAUCCAAUUCCGAGGCGCAUAUUGAAGAUUUUGGAAGAACUGUCCACAUUUACUUUUUGUCAGCCAACAAGAUGAGUAGGCCUAACGAAAAGCAAAAGCACUAGCCUAUGUCAAUCUACUGUCCCAAAUUAAUACAACCACAAGCAUUCAACAAACUGUUUUAAGCUGUGAGCCUGAUGCAACAGAUGAGAACGGUUAGCUUAAAAUGUUGAUAAACUAUUAGGCAAUUUCUUCACAUUAUAAGUUCAGCAAUGCGCACACAGCAGUAUUACCAGGAAAACACCAUUCUCAAAAGGGACCACAAAUGAGAUUAUGCAUGUAAUGCUUUUAUUAUAAAGGAGCAUUCUUAUCUUCCCCAAACAUGAAACUCACAUGCUGCGUAUGCAUGUCAGGCUCUACACCCUUUGUAAAUCGGAUUAAUUUUAAGAAGUUAUUUUGCCACUUUAGUUGUGAUACAAACCUUCUAGACCUAUGGGCUAGGCUACAUGAGGUGUGAUACAAACCUUAUCAAAACAUAUAGACCUAUGGGCUAGGCUACAUGAGGUGUGUGACUGAUUAGAAAAAGUUGCAAAAAAAAAGCAUGCACUGUUUGCCUUAAGCUGGCCAUCAUUCACAAGCCGUAAUAUAUCAUUCACAGGUGAUAGGCUAAUAUUGUCACCCAUCAGACUAUUUUUGAUUUAAACGUAACAUAUUCUAAAUAAUAUACAGUACCAGUCAAAAGUUUGGACACCUACUCAUUCCAGGGUUUGCCUUGAUUACAGCUUUGCACACUCUUGGCAUUCUCUCAACCAGCUUCAUGAGGUAGUCACCUGGAAUGCAUUUCAAUUAACAGGUGUGUCAUGUUAAGUUAAUUUGUGGAAUUUCUUUCCUUCUUAUUGCGUUUGAGCCAAUCAGUUGAGUUGUGACAAGGUAGGGGUGGUAUACAGAAGAUAACCCUAUUUGGUAAAAGACCAAGUCCAUAUUAUGGUAAGAACAGCUCAAAUAAGCAAAGAGAAACGACAGUCCAUCAUUACUUUAAGACAUGAAGGUCAGUCAAUACGGAAAAUUUCAAGAACUUUGAAAGUUUCUUCAAGUGCAGUCGGAAAACCAUCAAACACUAUGAUGAAACUGGCUCUCAUGAGGACCGCCUUAGGAAAGGAAGACCCAGAGUUACCUCUGUUGCAGAGAAUAAGUUCAUUAGAGUUACCAGCCUUAGAUAUUGCAGCCCAAAUAAAUGCUUCACAGAGUUCAAGUAACACACAUCUCAACGUCAACUGUUCAGAGGAAAAGGCGUGAAUCAGGCUUUCACGGUCGAAUUGCUGCAAAGAAGCCACUACUAAAGGACACCAAUAAUAAGAAGAGACUUGCUUGGGCCAAGAAACACAAGCAAUGGACAUUAGAAAUGUGAUAUUUUUGGUUACAACCACUGUGUCAUGUGAGAUGCAGAGUAGGUGAUCGGAUGAUCUCUCCAUGUGUGGUUCCCACUGUGAAUUAAGGAGGAGGUGUGACAGGUGAUUUAUUUAGAAUUCAAGGCACACUUAACCAGCAUGGCUACCAAAGCAUUCUGCAGCUAUAUGCAAUCCUAUCUGGUUUGCACUUAGUGCGACUAUCAUUUGUUUUUCAACAGGACAAUGACCCAACAUACCUCCAGGCUGUGUAAGGGCUAUUUGACCAAGAAGGAGAGUGAUGGAGUGCUGUAUCAGUUGAGAUAGUUUGGGAUGAGUUGGACCGCAGAGUGAAGGAAAAACAGCCAACAAGUGCUCAGCAUAUGUGGGAACUCCUUCAAGACGGUUGGAAAAGUAUUCCAGGUGAAGCUGGUUGAGAGAAUGCAUUGAGUGUGCAUGAUUCCAUAUGUGUUAUUUCAUAGUUGAUGUCUUCACCAUUAUUCUACAGUGUAGAACAUAGUAAAAAUAAAGAAAAAUCCUUGAAUGAGUAGGUGUGUCUAAACCUUUGACUGGUACUGCAUGUGUGAAAUUUGACCAUUAUCAUGCUCCUGUCUCAAAACAGGGGCAGAGAGAAUAAAAUACAUGACUGCACUUAAAUUGCGAAUGGAGGAUGUUUUUCCCAUGUUUCAUUUUGAUGCCAGCCAGGUAAGCAAAACUCCUGUUUCAAAGAUAAGCAAUGUGCUUAAAAUUUGGAAGGUUGAGAAAUAAAUAUAGUUGGCCUAGCCUAUCGAAAGCUGAUUGGAUCCUCAGUUUUCUCACGCAAUUGCAUAGCCUAAAUAAAUGUUGCGCAACAUGAGCUCAUGGGCUCUCAUGAAGUGUUUUGAUUAGAAUUUCGAUGACAUUUGCAGUGAUGUCAGAGUGAUUAGAGGGACAAUAGUGUGGAGUACCAGGCAGUUAGCACGUUUGGUAGGCUAGUAAUGACCAUCAGCAGCAUCAGAGCUUAGAGAAGCCUAAUUACCGUGACUAAACGGUCACAUGGAAUUGAACUGCAAUCAUGACUCAUGAACGCCGGUGUGGCAGUAAUGUGGUCACCUUUACAGCCCUAAUCCUAGGCAGUCACGUCCAUUUCCAAUGUGUUGCAGGUGAUAUUAGCUAUGCAUCUGGCACUUACCGGCUCUUCAAAUUGCCCAAAAAGCUUGAGAUGUCAAUCGCAAUAGUGACCUACAAGGGAAGUGUGUCUGACUACCCUUGUCAGCUGUAGUUUGACUCCUCCCACUGCUUCAAGAAAAACGCUGCAGGUCGACGGGGUUAUCUUCCAGUGCUCUCUCUUCUCCCCAGACUUCUGCAUCCAGAAGUAUGGCCACCUCAGCCCUUUCUUGCUGUGCUGCUCGGUGAAUCAAUGCUCCAAGACAGGCAAAGCCCCAGUAGCCUGUGGAGAGACCUAACUUAACGACACCACAUCCAUGAUGGAACCUCCUUAGAGAGCCGGGGUGUAUGGCCCAAUAAUCUUGCCUUCCUGCUGAAGUGUGCAUUCACUACUUCCCACAAAUCUAAAAGCAUUGGAUUGUUGUUUGCCUGGGAUAUUGGGAGUUUCCAUAUUUAUAGUGAUAAUUCCCAAGAAGCCGGUGUUUGUUGGAUAUGUUGGCAUGGUGUUGUUAGGCCCGAGACCAAAUCGAGGACUGGCAAACCAUGCCAAUAUAUCCAACAAACACCAGCUUCGAGGGCAUUAUCACUUGUACACGGGUUACCAACAUAUUCAAAUAAUGAUCGACAUUUUCAUUAAAAACGUUAUUUUUAUACAUUUAUUUGUACAAUUUCAUCCUUCCACAAGAUAUAGUCCCUACACAAAUCUAGGGUUGCUCGAGACGCGACC
Long non-coding RNA from Oncorhynchus tshawytscha (Chinook salmon), 5679 nucleotides. The record is from Ensembl. NCBI's taxonomy places the organism in Eukaryota, Metazoa, Chordata, Actinopteri, Salmoniformes, Salmonidae.